RNAcentral lists this ribosomal RNA (253 nucleotides) under uncultured bacterium. Its description in RNAcentral is "partial 16S ribosomal RNA". It matches the Rfam family "Bacterial small subunit ribosomal RNA", at positions 524 to 776 of the family's 1533-position model. The record is from RNAcentral.
UACAGAGGGUGCGAGCGUUAAUCGGAAUUACUGGGCGUAAAGCGCGCGUAGGCGGUUUUGUAAGUCGGGUGUGAAAGCCCCGGGCUCAACCUGGGAACUGCAUUCGAGACUGCAUAACUGGAGUAUUGGAGAGGGCAGUGGAAUUUCCGGUGUAGCGGUGAAAUGCGUAGAUAUCGGAAGGAACAUCAGUGGCGAAAGCGACUGCCUGGCCAAAUACUGACGCUCAUGUGCGAAAGCGUGGGGAGCAAACAGG